CUCCGCCCCCCGCCCCGCCGCGCGCUCCCGCCCCCGGGCUGAGGCGACUCAGAGUCGGAGCCCGACACAAAGGCGGUGGCGGCGGCAGCAGCGGAGGGGCCCUGGAGGCCGCUCCGCCCGCGCUCUCCGGGCCCACCUUCCUCACUCCGGCCACCGGCCCGGCUGCCCACCCGCGGGUCUAAGAUGGCGGCGGCGAAAGAGACCAGGCAAGCGGCAGCCCUGAGCGGAAAGCGCCGGAAAGGCCACCGCUGCCCGGCUUCGGAUUCCCGGACCCUGGCGCGGCUCGCGGCGAGACCAUGGCUUCCUGGGGUUCUUACCUGUCCGGAGCGGACUUGAAGAGAUGCGGCUACACGUUCUGCUCGACCUCCCGUUUUGCCGCCUCCGCCUCGCCCUCCCCAGCGCCGCUGCCGCCAUCUUGUGUCCCGGGCCGGGACUCCGCGCUGCGCAUGCGCUGGUACCGCCUCUGAGGGACCUCGCCACGACUGUGCCGCCAUCUUGAGUGUGGCCGGGCUGUCUGGCUCCCUAGAACUUGCUGGUUUCUGACCCCCUCCCCUUCCUCCCUUCUCUGCUGUCCCAAGCGUUUUUGAGGAGAGGAAAAAGCUUUGCUCCCCCCGGGUUGUGAACAGAGCGAGAAAUGAAUUCACCAACGUCCUUGCCUCAGUUUCCCCCGAGAGUACACCUGCAGGGUCCAGAGGACCCAGUUGGGCGCACCAGGGGACUCGGGGCCGAUUUGGAAUCUUCUGGGGGCCCGGGCUCAGACGCCGACCCGGGGGUGGAGUCCUGGUGACGUAGGCUUAACGUAGUGGGCACCUGGGUCCUAGCCUCCGCGGGUCUGUGCUGCCUCAAGCCAGCCUCUUGCCCUCUCUGGACCAGCGUCGCGUAGGGUUCCAGAGUGUGUUCCACCCCUGCCCCCAUGUCCAGGCUGUGUGCGAGUGACCCUCCCGUUAGCGCCUGCACGAGUUCUCCAUGUAGAUUCGAGCCCUCCAGAAACAAGAACAAGCCAGCUUCAUCAGCGCCGCAGUGCAGCAGUCCUGUCCUCUCACCUUUUGAUGGAAGACUAGGAAGCCAGACAGCUGGGCUCUAUCUCACACCCUGCCUCGGAGGACCAAAUGGCACGCCUUGCCUGAGACAGGAGUUACAGUCACUCUAAAGAGUGCCUAAAUAUACAAGCUCACCAGUAGUUCAUUUUUACACUAAAGUGUAAGAACCA
Molecule: long non-coding RNA, 1210 nt
Organism: Marmota flaviventris (yellow-bellied marmot)
Lineage: Eukaryota; Metazoa; Chordata; Mammalia; Rodentia; Sciuridae
Source: RefSeq, a predicted model, not a curated record